This 491-nucleotide ribosomal RNA is filed under the name Heyndrickxia coagulans. RNAcentral's name for it is "bacterial SSU rRNA". It matches the Rfam family "Bacterial small subunit ribosomal RNA", at positions 36 to 514 of the family's 1533-position model. Lineage: Bacteria; Bacillati; Bacillota; Bacilli; Caryophanales; Bacillaceae. The record is from RNAcentral.
CNAGNGGAGCUAUAAUGCAGUCGUGCGGACCUUUUAAAGCUUGCUUUUAAAAGGUUAGCGGCGGACGGGUGAGUAACACGUGGGCAACCUGCCUGUAAGAUCGGGAUAACGCCGGGAAACCGGGGCUAAUACCGGAUAGUUUUUUCCUCCGCAUGGAGGAAAAAGGAAAGACGGCUUUUGCUGUCACUUACAGAUGGGCCCGCGGCGCAUUAGCUAGUUGGUGGGGUAACGGCUCACCAAGGCAACGAUGCGUAGCCGACCUGAGAGGGUGAUCGGCCACAUUGGGACUGAGACACGGCCCAAACUCCUACGGGAGGCAGCAGUAGGGAAUCUUCCGCAAUGGACGAAAGUCUGACGGAGCAACGCCGCGUGAGUGAAGAAGGCCUUCGGGUCGUAAAACUCUGUUGCCGGGGAAGAACAAGUGCCGUUCGAACAGGGCGGCGCCUUGACGGUACCCGGCCAGAAAGCCACGGCUAACUACGUAACAGCAG